CCAACAAUUAAUUGAAGAAUUUUAAAGUUCUGAUUUUCGCUCAAUCAACAAUAUUCAUUAGGUUAAGGUGUGCCUUGUGAUUAAUUGUUAGAGUCUCAUUAUUUCACCAUCCAAUCUUCGUUUGACAUGCUUUAUUGUCGCCAGCUGAGUCUUUAUUGUCGAAAGCUCCUGUGUUGUAAGAAUUCGUUCUUGAUCCAGCAAAAGCUAACACACACUUCUUUUCAUAGUUUUUUUUAGUGCUCUGAUUAUCUCACAUAACGCAUAGAUCCAUAAUGUACAAUUUGAUCUUGUCGCAUUCCUAGUGCAUUCCAUUUGUAUUUACCGUUUUUAGUAUAUGGUUGUGAUAAAUAGUAUACCUAUUUUUUUUUCAUAGGAUAUGGGAGAGCUAGGGUGUAAUUUUGAAGUUUACCGCAAUGAUGAACUUACAGUAGAGGAGCUGAAAAGGCGAGAAGAAACCAAUGUGCAUUCAAAACGUUAUCUGGCUAAUCAAGUGGUGUUGAUUCCUUUAUUACGCUCUCAUUUUUUUUUGCAGUAAAAAGCCAAGAGGGGUGCUGAUUUUCCUGGCCCUGGUACCCCCACAAGACUCUGGGAUUUCCUUACAAACUGUUUUGGAACUCGGACCACAUGCCCCUUUAUUUUGGAGUAUGUAUAGGAGAAGCUUUUGGAGGAAAGAUUGUGCGGUCACCAUUUGGUGUUAUGCAUGGGAAAAGCUCCAUGGUUUACUAUGAUGAGAAAGGAGAAGAAGGCUUGUUCUCUGGCUUAUCAAAGUAUGAAUCUAACAAGAUUUAUGAAUAAAAACUGAAGAUUUAAGCCAUUGUAAUGUGAAGUCAGUGUCUUGUAGAAC
This is a long non-coding RNA of Brassica oleracea var. oleracea, 844 nucleotides long. RefSeq lists it as uncharacterized. Lineage: Eukaryota; Viridiplantae; Streptophyta; Magnoliopsida; Brassicales; Brassicaceae. The transcript has 3 exons. The record is from RefSeq and is a predicted model, not a curated record.